Molecule: long non-coding RNA, 609 nt
Organism: Beta vulgaris subsp. vulgaris (sugar beet)
Lineage: Eukaryota; Viridiplantae; Streptophyta; Magnoliopsida; Caryophyllales; Amaranthaceae
Exons: 2
Source: RefSeq, a predicted model, not a curated record
UUAUUAUUUUGUUCUCUAAUUAGGGAUUGCGAUUUUAAUUUUCUGAAAAUUCUAGUUUUUGGAAAUGAGAUUAGGGUGCAGAUUAUUGACGAAUGCAUAUGUUGUUUUGGAAUGCUUGUGAACAUUUAAUAGAUUUUUCAGCCUGUGAAUGAAAAUUUCUAAUAUAAUUUCAUUGUGUUCUAUGUGCAAUUCAUAAUUUUUUGUAUCUAAAGUGGGUUUUGAUAGGCACACCAAGUGUUUGUGGAAAGCUCUAAGAGAGAGAAACUUGAAGUUAGAAGGUAGAAGAAGCUCAUGAAUCUGUAAACCAUUGUGAAUGAUGAACCAACUGGAGGAGAUCAAACGUAGACGUCUCACUAUACAUACUACGGGCCAGAUUUAGUUAGCUAUAUUAUAGUGAUGCGGUACUUGGUGGUUAGAAGGAAAAUGAUCUAUUUGUACUUAUUAGAAGUAUUUGUGGUACUAAAACAAAUAUUUAUUAGUUGGGUUUGAUUAAGUACAUUAAUUUUCGUUAAUUAGGAUUUGUCAUGUAUACUCUUAAUUUAAUUAGUUUUGGAAAUUAUAAUACGGAUAUGACAAUUAUUUUUGGCAUUUCAAGAGUAUUUUUGCAUU